Molecule: ribosomal RNA, 3804 nt
Filed under: Monomorphina pyrum
Lineage: Eukaryota; Euglenozoa; Euglenophyceae; Euglenales; Euglenaceae
Description: partial large subunit ribosomal RNA
Rfam family: Eukaryotic large subunit ribosomal RNA
Source: RNAcentral
AGGAAAGACAGGCAACUGCGAUUGCCCCAGUAAUGGCGAAUGAAUUGGCAACACAUCCUAUGUGGCUCAUCCUGAAGUGGUUUCCCUUCCAGCACUGCGACCCAUCCCUUGUGGACCGGGGGCAGCUUGCGGUUGGCUACCGUGGAUUCCAGCAGAUGCUGUGGGCUGUGGAGUGGCCGGUAUGCUGUGAGUGAGGACUGCACCAGGAAGGGCCCUGGAAUGGCCCACGACAGAGGGAGAGUGUCCCAUACCAUCCGUGUGCAGUCCCUUGCUUGUGGCAUUGCCGUCCGCAUCCAGGAGUAGAGUGGCUUGGGACUGCAGUUUGAAGUGCAAGGUGUAUCCAUUGCAAGGCAGAAUACUGACCUGGGACCGAUAGAGCACAAGUAGAGUGAUUGAAGGAUGCAAAGGACUUUGCAAAGAGGGUUAAAAGUCCCUGAAGCUGUGGCAGCAACGGUGGAGAGUGGAGCUGUGGAUGAUUGAAUCGAUGCCCAUGUCUGGUUCCACCCAAAGGGGAGUGAAUAUGGCCCCAGCUGCACCCCUGUGGUGCGUGUCUGGGGACAGACACACACAGUCCCGACCCUUGGGUGCAAUGCUUGCGCCUGAACCACGACAUCGGGGAAUGCCUUCCAAGCAACCUUGGGCCAGCCCAGCACUGGCCAGGAAGCCCUGUCCCCCAUGGGGAGGAUGCUACCCUGGCAGUGCCUGGUGACACUAUGCGUGCCUGGGCCUGAGGCUGAGGAUUGUUGAGGACACUGUUGUGAUCCCUGCAUGGUACCGAGUGAGGGCUGUGAUGCGAUGCUGGACCUUGUUAAGAAGCCCCUCUGUCGAGGCGUGUGUGACAGGCCAGCCACCCUCCGAGAGGGACCGAGAGUGAGAGACACAGCUUUCUAUUUGUCAUCUGAGUGUGGAACGAAACACAGAACCCCCUGGUGUGUCUCCGGACAUGCCAGUCACCGCACCUGGCCUGGACCUGGGACUGGUGGAUGCAUGGUGGCUGCACCACCUCAUGGCUGGUGGCUCCUGUGUGACCACCCUGGUCCCCCAGACAGUGUGCGGUGUGAGAAGCAGAGUGGAGCUUGGGCCAACAGUGCCACCCUYUGCCCGUCUUGAAACACGGACCAAGGAGUCUAUGGAGCUUGCGCAUGGUUGGAAGGUUCCCAAUGGAAGCCGCAGUGCAUGGUGAAGGCAACAGACCCAGAUGGUGAAUCCACAGGACCAGCCCCAUGGCCAGGCCGCGUCAGAGACCACAGUGAUGUCUUUCUGGAACCCCUCGAGGGCUGCACCUGUGUGAUCCGAGACCGGGCAGGCCAAGGGUGCUGUGAAACUGGAGAGUGCUGCAUGGGAACCAGUCCUGAAGCCCGUUGGACAAGGUUCUGAGUGAAUGCAAGGUCCCUGGGACCCGAAAGGUGGUGAACUAUACCGUUCUAUGGUGAAGCCUUGGGAAACUGAGGUGGAGGCCAGCAGCUGUUCUGACGUGCAAAUUGUGUAGCCUGAGUGUGGCAUAGGGGUGAAAGGCCAAUCGAACCACCUAGUAGCUGGUUUCCUUCGAAGUUUCCCUCAGGAUAGCUGGGCUUGAAUGCAACCACCCAGAGAGGUUACGUCCGGUAAAGCAACGCAUGAGAGGCUAUACCUGGGGAGGCUGUCCUCCUCAACCUAUUCUCGAACUGUGAAUGGGCGUGAACACACCCAGAAAUGCAAGCUUCUUCACUGUGCUGGAGUCUGUGCCUAGACAGUCCCUCCGGCCUUCUGAGCAUGUUGGUCUGGUGGUGGUGAGCCUGGUCCACCAAAAUGAGAGAGAGAGUCUCGACAAGCAGAGUGUUGUGGCAAACAGGGACAGAAGCAGAGCAGCCCUCGGCCGAUGGAGGCACUGGUUGUGAUAGCCACGUGCGUGCGGGAUCUGUGCGGAGAGGGCAAGCAAGAAGGAGAGUCUCUUUUGUGUGGACAGAAACAGAGCUGCCACCCCUUGGGAGAACAGGCAGGCCUAUGUGGACCAUGAUUGGUAAGCAGUGCUGGUGAUGCGGGAUGCUCCGAGAGUGGACUUACAGGUCCAGAGUGCUGGCUCAUACCCAGAUCCCACAAAGGAUGUUGCCUGCUAGAGAUAGCAGGACGGUGGCCAUGAAGGUUGGAAUCCGCCAAGGAAUGUGUAACAACUCACCUGCCGAAGCGUGCAGCUCCGAAAAUGGAUGGUGCCCAAGUCAGUGAAGCUGAAUUUGCCUCACAGUCCACUGCCACUGUGGCAGCAACAAGCAGAGCAUUGGCAUGUAGAAUGGACAUGGGAGAUUGCAGUGCCCGCUGGGGUUGCCCCUGGCUUGAGUGUCUCCUGGCGCAGAUCUUGGUUGCAGUAGCAAGUACUCCAUCGGGUAAGGUGCAGAACAACCCCUGCUGUGUGUGGUUGAGGACUGGAGUGGAGCAGGUUUCCACAACAAACAGCCGUUGAAUGUGGGUCAGCCGACCGUGAGCCAAGUGGUAAAUUCACUGAACAACCAAAGCUGCUGUGUGUGCCCCCUGCGAGGGACCACCGGAACAAGGCCCCGUGAAAAUGACCCUCCCUGGAGGGAUGGCAACCGAGGGAACCUGUCUGUGGGACCGUCUGCCGCCUGACAUGGCCCCUGUGUCUCUCCGACGCCUGGGCAUGGGUCACAGCAGCACGGUUCCGUUGCGGGGUGACCACCAUGCCAGCCGCAGCUCCAGGGAGUGGGGAGAGAUGGCACUGUGCCGGACAGAGUCCCUGUGCUUAUGUGAGGAUGCAAUGGCAGGAAUGGCAAACAGGCAAGCAGGUGCAACAUUCUGCUGCAAUGGGCCUGGGGUGCCCUUCGAUACUGAGUGGAGACACUCCACUGAUUGCUGGAUCAAGCAGGCCUAGGGGCAGUGGACCCCCUGAGGAGUUCUCUUUUCCUCCUGAUGCAGGUUCAUGUGGGCUGUUGAAUGGCAUGACAGAUGGUGGCAUAGGCCCUCCACCCGGCAGGGCAGCAAUCUCAAAUGUUGGUACAGCUGAUGGUCUCCUCUUUGCAUGUGUGUGACGGACGGGCUCCAAGGCAGCAAAGGCUAUACAUUUCCCAAGGGCUAAGGCCGACGGCUCCCUCCCGAGUCACAAGGCAAAAUCUCUGGCAGUCACUGGCUCCAAUGAAAGUCCUGUGUGGACCAUGUGCCCCUAACCCCUGGGUUCUCGUACUGAAUCACCGCAGCCGGUCUCCUCGGCUAGACGCCGCUAGUCCACAGACCGAAUGCAGCUAAGGGAAGUCGGCAAACUAGCUGUGUACCUUUGGAAGAUGCAGUGGCUCCAGAGGCCAAGCCACCGUUGGGUCCCAUUAGGCCUCUUCUAUCUUGCCCAUGGACAUGGGUGGGAUGUGAACCCAGUGAUCUCGGUUGCUCCGUGAGCAGCCUGCCCGGUUUGUGCUUCAGUGUUGCCUCUGGAAUGGUGCUGUGCAUGGUGAGUGUCCGGUGCAGGAGCAAUCCUCACCACUAGAGGCACUCCUCCCAGGUGUCUACAUGGUGGCCCAUAUGGAACUGAUGCUGUGCAGGGGAAUCUGACUGUUUAAUUGAAACCCAGCUUUGUGAAGGGACCAGCUGGCUGGUUCCAUGAGGUGACUUCUGCCCAGUGCUCUGAUUGUCACCACGAAGAGAUUCAGUGAAGCGCGGGUAAACGGCGGGAGUAACUAUGACUCUCUUAAGGUAGCCAAAUGCCUCGUCAACCAAUUAUUGACGCGCAUGAAUGGAUCAACGAGAUUCCUGCUGUCCCUAGGUGCUGUCUGGUGAACCAACCGCCAAGGGAACGGGCUUGGAUGUGUCAGCGGGGAAAGAAGA